This is a long non-coding RNA of Bos taurus (domestic cattle), 703 nucleotides long. NCBI's taxonomy places the organism in Eukaryota, Metazoa, Chordata, Mammalia, Artiodactyla, Bovidae. The record is from Ensembl.
CAAGAAGAUAGGAAAGGAACAAAAGAAGGAAAGAAAUCACCAAUUGUGUAAACUUGGGCUAGAUACUUAAAUUCUUUGGAACUCAGUUUCCUCACCUGCUUAUCUCAGAUAAGUCUCAAGUGAGAUAAUACAGGAGAAUACAUUCUAAUUGCAGAGAGCUGUAGAACUACACAGCCUCUAUUUUCAGUAGCCAGAAGUCAAUGAAGUAACCCCACAGGCCUUUGACCUGAGAAUUUUCAGGUAGAGACUUCUUCAUGGAUAAUCCUGAAGAGAUAAAUGCAAGGCAGAGAAGAAUGGGGUAGUCAAAGAUGAGUGUUGCAAAGAAAUACUUCUCUGCCUCCCACCAGGGACCAGAAGUUUCACCGCCUUUUUCCAGACCUCUAGGAGAACUGGUUGGAUGAGGUGGUUGGAUGGCAUCACCGACUCAAUGGACAUGAGUUUGGGUAGACUCCAGGAGUUGGUGAUGGACAGGGAGGCCUGGCGUGCUGCAGUCCAUGGGGUCACAAAGAAUUGGACACAACUGAGCGACUGAACUGAACUGAACUGAAGGACAACUAUUCCUCCCUGGCAUACCUCAGCAAUAUUGUGGGUUUUGUUCCAGACUAACCAAAGCCAAUGUCAAAAUAAACCAAGUCACAUCAUGGUUUUUUUUGUUUCCUAGUGUAUAUAAAAGUUAUAUUUACAUUAAACUGUAAUCUAUGAG